GGUGGAUCAGUGGCGAACGGGUGAGUAACACGUGAGCAACCUGCCCUGGACUCUGGGAUAAGCGCUGGAAACGGCGUCUAAUACUGGAUAUGAGACGUGAUCGCAUGGUCGUGUUUGGAAAGAUUUUUCGGUCUGGGAUGGGCUCGCGGCCUAUCAGCUUGUUGGUGAGGUAAUGGCUCACCAAGGCGUCGACGGGUAGCCGGCCUGAGAGGGUGACCGGCCACACUGGGACUGAGACACGGCCCAGACUCCUACGGGAGGCAGCAGUGGGGAAUAUUGCACAAUGGGCGAAAGCCUGAUGCAGCAACGCCGCGUGAGGGAUGACGGCCUUCGGGUUGUAAACCUCUUUUAGCAGGGAAGAAGCGAAAGUGACGGUACCUGCAGAAAAAGCGCCGGCUAACUACGUGCCAGCAGCCGCGGUAAUACGUAGGGCGCAAGCGUUAUCCGGAAUUAUUGGGCGUAAAGAGCUCGUAGGCGGUUUGUCGCGUCUGCUGUGAAAUCCCGAGGCUCAACCUCGGGCCUGCAGUGGGUACGGGCAGACUAGAGUGCGGUAGGGGAGAUUGGAAUUCCUGGUGUAGCGGUGGAAUGCGCAGAUAUCAGGAGGAACACCGAUGGCGAAGGCAGAUCUCUGGGCCGUAACUGACGCUGAGGAGCGAAAGGGUGGGGAGCAAACAGGCUUAGAUACCCUGGUAGUCCACCCCGUAAACGUUGGGAACUAGUUGUGGGGACCAUUCCACGGUUUCCGUGACGCAGCUAACGCAUUAAGUUCCCCGCCUGGGGAGUACGGCCGCAAGGCUAAAACUCAAAGGAAUUGACGGGGACCCGCACAAGCGGCGGAGCAUGCGGAUUAAUUCGAUGCAACGCGAAGAACCUUACCAAGGCUUGACAUAUACGAGAACGGGCCAGAAAUGGUCAACUCUUUGGACACUCGUAAACAGGUGGUGCAUGGUUGUCGUCAGCUCGUGUCGUGAGAUGUUGGGUUAAGUCCCGCAACGAGCGCAACCCUCGUUCUAUGUUGCCAGCACGUAAUGGUGGGAACUCAUGGGAUACUGCCGGGGUCAACUCGGAGGAAGGUGGGGAUGACGUCAAAUCAUCAUGCCCCUUAUGUCUUGGGCUUCACGCAUGCUACAAUGGCCGGUACAAAGGGCUGCAAUACCGUGAGGUGGAGCGAAUCCCAAAAAGCCGGUCCCAGUUCGGAUUGAGGUCUGCAACUCGACCUCAUGAAGUCGGAGUCGCUAGUAAUC
RNAcentral lists this ribosomal RNA (1244 nucleotides) under Microbacterium testaceum. Its description in RNAcentral is "bacterial SSU rRNA". It matches the Rfam family "Bacterial small subunit ribosomal RNA", at positions 86 to 1343 of the family's 1533-position model. Lineage: Bacteria; Bacillati; Actinomycetota; Actinomycetes; Micrococcales; Microbacteriaceae. The record is from RNAcentral.